GCCUACCAUGGUGGUAACGGGUAACGGGGAAUUAGGGUUCGAUUCCGGAGAGGGAGCCUGAGAAACGGCUACCACAUCCAAGGAAGGCAGCAGGCGCGCAAAUUACCCAAUCCCGACACGGGGAGGUAGUGACAAUAAAUAACAAUACGGGGCUCAUUUGGGUCUCGUAAUUGGAAUGAGUACAAUUUAAAUCCCUUAACGAGGAACAAUUGGAGGGCAAGUCUGGUGCCAGCAGCCGCGGUAAUUCCAGCUCCAAUAGCGUAUAUUAAAGUUGUUGCAGUUAAAAAGCUCGUAGUUGAACUUCGGGGUUCACCCAUUGGUCAGGCUUAAUUGUCUGCACUGGUGAGAUGAGCCUCUACCUUCUGAGGAACUUUCAUGCCAUUUAUUUGGUGUGGUUGGAAAUCAGGACUGUUACUUUGAAAAAAUUAGAGUGUUUAAAGCAGGCUAACGUCUGAAUACAUUAGCAUGGAAUAAUGAAAUAGGACGGACUGAUUCUAUUUCGUUGGUUUCUAGGAUCACCGUAAUGAUUAAUAGGGAUAGUUGGGGGCAUUAGUAUUCAAUUGUCAGAGGUGAAAUUCUUGGAUUUAUUGAAGACUAACUACUGCGAAAGCAUUUGCCAAGGAUGUUUUCAUUAAUCAAGAACGAAAGUUAGGGGAUCGAAGACGAUCAGAUACCGUCGUAGUUUAACCAUAAACUAUGCCGACUAGGGAUCGGACGAAGUUAAUUUUAUAAUGACGCGUUCGGCACCUUACG
This 753-nucleotide ribosomal RNA is filed under the name uncultured Diversispora. Its description in RNAcentral is "SSU rRNA". It matches the Rfam family "Eukaryotic small subunit ribosomal RNA", at positions 339 to 1092 of the family's 1831-position model. Lineage: Eukaryota; Fungi; Glomeromycota; Glomeromycetes; Diversisporales; Diversisporaceae. The record is from RNAcentral.